CAAGCCGCGCGAUAACACCCCACUCCUUCUUUCAAUCUUUCAUCCCAUCAAAAAAUCCCAAAAUCAGUUUCAUCUUUCUUCCCCAAAGUCAUGGCUUUCUUCAGAAAACUUAAUUGCAUCUUUCUUCCCUAAACCUUAAUCCCCAAAUUAGUUUGUUACCAUCCUCUGUUGUAAGCUUUCUCAAUCACUUCGAAUUCUCCAUACACACAAUCUACUGUAAGCUUUCUCUCUAUAAUAAGAUAUUAAUUUAAUUUCCCUGCUUAUCAGCUUGGUCUUCGCUCAAUCUGGGAGUCACACGCUGUUAUAGGUGUUUUUUGUCCCUCACGAUUUGAAGAUGUGAAGUCUGCAAUUGGUUAGUGAGACAUGAUUUUACUAUUUAUAAAUAACUAUAUUUUUCUAUAAUUUUUUUAAUAAAGUUAAAAGCCAUAAGUUGUUCCAAAAGCUUCCGCAGUUGAUUAUUGGGUUAAAUAUGUUAGAAUUUCUUUGAUUGGUGUAGGAACUGUGUAUACAUAUUUUCUUUGAUUCUGGAAAAUUUGAGUUGAAAUUGAAUUGUCUAGAGGUCAUAAGCUGUUAGUAAGCUGUUUUGGGAAUUUUGCCUUAAAUGACUAAGUUGUGGAUUAAUCUGCUGUAUAAUGUGGAUUACUCUUAUUUAUGAUUUAAUGGGUUGGAUUUUGAUAUUAGGGGUUCGUUUAAAAGCUUUCUCGCUUUCUCCUUUGUCAAUUUUUGGUUUUGGUAAGCUUUCUCCUUUCUCCUGUAAUUUGUUUUUUUUAUUAUUAUUAGUUUUUUAGCGUACAAGGUUGGUGAAUUUUGAUAUUUCAUGCUAUUUGUUUAUUAUAGUAAAAUGAUUUGCAUCGUGGAUUGAAAUGUUGGAAUAUGUACUUGGCAUGAAUGUAGAGAAACUUGAGCCAUUUUAGAUUUACUUAUUUAAGUUUUUUUAUUGACAUAAACUUUGUGAGAUUGUAAGGGAGAACUUAUGACAUUUUUCAUAAAAUUUUUCCAACUUAUUUCAUAAGUGGUCCAAGCUUAGCUUACAUAAACAGCUUAUAACAUAUACAAAAACAAGUUUAUUUUUACACAUACAAGCUUUGUGCUAUAAGUUGGAAAUAAGUUGUUUAUCGUAUUCCGGCGUACUUGUACUAUGAGUGGCGGUGGAAUCCAAUUAGUUGUCUUUGUAGAUGAGGAAAGAAGAGCCAGAGAUGGGGAAUUUGAUUUUUCUGGUGGUUUUUGUUAUCUCUGUCGUGGACUGUGUUGUUUGUGCGGUUUGUCCUAGUUGCUAAGGCGCUCUGUGGUACUGCUUGUUUUCUUUUCUUCACCUGUGGUGUCCCCUUCUUUCGCUGAUACAAGGAGGGGCUGUUUGCUCGCUAGCUUAUCUCCUAUAGCUGCUGAUACAAGGAGGGGCUGUUACGGCGUGCUGAUUUGUUCUUUUUGUAACUAGUUCUUUUGUUUAUUCUGAUAGAUAGUUGCUUCUAGUGAGGACAUAAUUUGUUGCUUAAGAUUCUCA
This 1501-nucleotide long non-coding RNA is filed under the name Medicago truncatula (barrel medic). RNAcentral describes it as "long non-coding RNA (MTRU_LNC006939)". Lineage: Eukaryota; Viridiplantae; Streptophyta; Magnoliopsida; Fabales; Fabaceae. The record is from RNAcentral.